Molecule: ribosomal RNA, 497 nt
Filed under: uncultured bacterium
Lineage: Bacteria
Description: partial 16S ribosomal RNA
Rfam family: Bacterial small subunit ribosomal RNA
Source: RNAcentral
GACGAACGCUGGCGGCGUGCCUAAUACAUGCAAGUUGAGCGCUGAAGGUUGGUACUUGUCCCAACUGGAUGAGCAGCGAACGGGUGAGUAACGCGUGGGGAAUCUGCCUUUGACCGGGGGACAACAUUUGGAAACGAAUGCUAAAACCGCAUAAAAACUUUAAACACAGGUUUUAGGUUUGAAAGAUGCAAUUGCAUCACUCAAAAAUGAUCCCGCGUUUUAUUAGUUAGUUGGGGGGGAAAAGGCCCACCAAGGGGUUGAUCCAUAGCCGACCUGAGAGGGUGAUCGGCCACAUUGGGACUGAGACACGGCCCAAACUCCUACGGGAGGCAGCAGUAGGGAAUCUUCGGCAAUGGACGAAAGUCUGACCGAGCAACGCCGCGUGAGUGAAGAAGGUUUUCGGAUCGUAAAACUCUGUUGGUAGAGAAGAACGUUGGUGAGAGUGGAAAGCUCAUCAAGUGACGGUAACUACCCAGAAAGGGACGGCUAACUACGUG